RNAcentral lists this unclassified non-coding RNA (279 nucleotides) under plant metagenome. Its description in RNAcentral is "partial contains small subunit ribosomal RNA, internal transcribed spacer 1, and 5.8S ribosomal RNA". The record is from RNAcentral.
UUUCCGUAGGUGAACCUGCGGAAGGAUCAUUAUCAAUCUGUGUUUUUUCGGCCUUUUUACAACCCUUGUCUCCACCUUAUGUGAUACGUUCUGCGACGCUCUAUCGUUCUCUUUUAGGUUACGGAAGCGGGAAUCUCUACACAUUCACAACCUCACAUAAAACUAAUUUGUAUGAACAUUUGUUAUCACGCUUUAACUUAUUUCGUCGAUACAACUUUCAACAACUCAUCUCUUGACUCGCGCAUACAUGAAGAACGCAGCAGAUCGGCAGAGCACACG